This 1385-nucleotide ribosomal RNA is filed under the name Engystomops sp. D DCC-2006. Its description in RNAcentral is "partial 16S ribosomal RNA". It matches the Rfam family "Bacterial large subunit ribosomal RNA", at positions 361 to 2557 of the family's 2925-position model. The record is from RNAcentral. Lineage: Eukaryota; Metazoa; Chordata; Amphibia; Anura; Leptodactylidae.
AGCUAAAAAUCUAGCCUUAUAUCUUUCUAAUGUAAAACUCCUUCCCCCCUUUUACCAAAUCAAAACAUUUUUUAAACCCAGUAAAGGAGAUUAAAAAGUUUCUCAGAGCUAUAAUAGUUGUACCGCAAGGGAUAGAUGAAAUAAAAAUGAAACAAAAUUAAAGCAACAAAAAGUAGAGCUUUACUCUCGUACCUUUUGCAUCAUGGUUCAACUAGUUUAACCAAGCAAAAUGAAUUAAAGUUUGACCCCCCGAAACUAAGUGAGCUACUUCAGGGCAGCUUAAUGAGCCAACCCGUCUCUGUUGCAAAAGAGUGGGAUGACCCUCAAGUAGAGGUGAUAGACCUAACGAACUUAGUGAUAGCUGGUUAUUCAGGAAAGGAAUAUUAGUUCAACUUAAAAUUACAAAAAUUAUUAUAAAUAAAAUUUCAAUUUUAAAGUAAUUCAAACAAGGUACAGCCUGUUUGAAUCAGGAUACAACCUAUACUAAUGGGUAAAUUAAUAAAAACUAUAAUUAAGUAGGCUUAAGAGCAGCCACCUUUUAAAUAGCGUCAAAGCUUAUUUAUAAUUUUUAUUUAAUAACAUUAUUUAUUAUUAACCCUUUACUUCUACUGAAUAUUUCUAUAAAACUAUAGAAUUUUUUCUGUUGAAACUAGUAACAAGAAGUUAAACUUCUCUUUAAUGUAAGCAUAACUCGGGUAGGAUAAACCACCGAAAAUUAACGCCUUGAACCUAAAAUAAUAACACUACAUGAAAACUUUAUUGUACUUGACGUUAACCUUACACCAGAACAUUUAAAGAAAGAUUUUAAAAAAAGGAAGGAACUCGGCAAACAUUAACCUCGCCUGUUUACCAAAAACAUCGCCUUCUGCUUUAUUAUAGAAGGUCCAGCCUGCCCAGUGAACUAAUUUAACGGCCGCGGUAUCCUAACCGUGCGAAGGUAGCGUAAUCACUUGUUCUUUAAAUGAGGACUAGUAUGAAUGGCAUCACGAGGGUUAUACUGUCUCCCUUUUUUAAUCAGUUAAACUAAUCUUCCCGUGAAGAAGCGGGAAUAAUUUUAUAAGACGAGAAGACCCUAUGGAGCUUUAAAUUAUGCAACAAAUGCUAUUCCUCUUUCAUUUUAAGAAUAACUUUAUAUUUAAGCACUAUGAUUGCUGAUUUUUGGUUGGGGUGACCGCGGAGUAAAAAACAACCUCCAUAAUGAAGUGGAAAUUUUUCCUGAAUCAAGAAUUACAAUUCUAAAUACCAACAAUUUGACAUUCUUUGAUCCAAUCUAUUGAUCAACGAACAAAGUUACCCUAGGGAUAACAGCGCAAUCCACUUCAAGAGCUCCUAUCGACAAGUGGGUUUACGACCUCGAUGUUGGAUCAGGAUGUCCUAGUGGUGUA